GCCCAAACCAAUAAAGUUUUCUUUAUUGGGGUUGCGGACAUAUCAUAACGAAGAGGUAUCGUAAUUGAAGAGGUUUGGAAAGACCCACCACAGAAGGUAAUAGUCCUGUAUGUUAAACGAGAAGACUUUAGAUAUGAUCCAGAGUACCACGGGACACGUGAAACCCUGUGGGAAGCAGGAGGGACCACCCUCCAAGGCUAAAUACUACCUAGUGACCG
RNAcentral lists this ribosomal RNA (218 nucleotides) under Clostridioides difficile. RNAcentral describes it as "partial 23S ribosomal RNA". It matches the Rfam family "Bacterial large subunit ribosomal RNA", at positions 267 to 486 of the family's 2925-position model. The record is from RNAcentral. Lineage: Bacteria; Bacillati; Bacillota; Clostridia; Peptostreptococcales; Peptostreptococcaceae.